CUUGCUUCUCUUGAGAGCGGCGGACGGGUGAGUAAUGCCUAGGAAUCUGCCUGGUAGUGGGGGAUAACGUCCGGAAACGGACGCUAAUACCGCAUACGUCCUACGGGAGAAAGCAGGGGACCUUCGGGCCUUGCGCUAUCAGAUGAGCCUAGGUCGGAUUAGCUAGUUGGUGGGGUAAUGGCUCACCAAGGCGACGAUCCGUAACUGGUCUGAGAGGAUGAUCAGUCACACUGGAACUGAGACACGGUCCAGACUCCUACGGGAGGCAGCAGUGGGGAAUAUUGGACAAUGGGCGAAAGCCUGAUCCAGCCAUGCCGCGUGUGUGAAGAAGGUCUUCGGAUUGUAAAGCACUUUAAGUUGGGAGGAAGGGCAGUAAAUUAAUACUUUGCUGUUUUGACGUUACCGACAGAAUAAGCACCGGCUAACUCUGUGCCAGCAGCCGCGGUAAUACAGAGGGUGCAAGCGUUAAUCGGAAUUACUGGGCGUAAAGCGCGCGUAGGUGGUUCGUUAAGUUGGAUGUGAAAUCCCCGGGCUCAACCUGGGAACUGCAUUCAAAACUGACGAGCUAGAGUAUGGUA
Molecule: ribosomal RNA, 578 nt
Filed under: uncultured bacterium
Lineage: Bacteria
Description: bacterial SSU rRNA
Rfam family: Bacterial small subunit ribosomal RNA
Source: RNAcentral